CUGUGGCUCUGGAGGAUACAGAUGCGUCAGUCACUCACACAAACAAACAGCCACACUGUCAUACUUCAGGCAGCGAACGCCAGGUGGCGCUGCUAGCCGCGGAGGAAGCUUCCACUCCUCGUCACUUCCAGGAACAACGACCGGGAGGCAUCUAAAGUGAAGUGGGGGGUGUGGGGCACGAAUCCAAUUUGUGCCAGCAUCUGUGAUUGGUCAUGGCCGUGAUCUCUGACGUGCCGCGUGACGCUGCUCUCAUCUCCUGAUCGCCGCAUCACUCCGGCGUCUGUCUCAAAAUUGGCUUUGUGCUCUGUGUCUCAAAAUUGUGCUGCUGCACAAAAACUUUCUCAUGACUGAUGAGGAGACAAACCAACUGUGAUUUCAGUCUCAGAAAUCACUGCACACUUUAAUGGAGAAAGAAAGAUGGAUUUGGAACAACACCAGGUGGCCUGUACAGAUGUAAGGGAAAACACAGGGUUAUGAAGAAACCGUAGGAGGAACAAUGGCUCGAAAAAGGACACCCGUCCUCCUCUGCUCGACUUGGGAAGGUGCUAAGAGAAAUGACAUCCAAGAGGGUUGCAGACAAACAUUUGUCCAGAUGAGCUGCGGUAACAGGAUUGUGUUUGGACAGGAGCUUCUCUCUGUAGGGAACAAGAUUCUCUGAAGUGAAACGCUGGAGGAUUCUAAGAAUGAACCACUUGCAGAACUUUCUUUGCGGUUCUGAUGAUUCAUCCACCCAACCGUGAGAUGACUAGACUGCAGCUCUGACCAAAUUCAACUGCUGUAAGAACAAGCUGAAGAAGUUGAGAAAUACAUGCUGGCGGUUAUUCUGAAAAUGUCUGUUUCCCACCGGAAUGAAACGUAUACAGGCAAAACAUUGAAAAGCCCCCUCCGUUGGAGAGAGAGAAAGAGAGGGAUGGAAUAAGAAUGAGAGCGAGUGAAACAGAGUGAGUCAUGAGUGCAGCUUUGAACAACAAGGGGAAAUCCUCCUAUUGAGAGGCAUGCGCAUUGGAAACACACAUCAUGCAUAGAGCUCCUGACAGUGACAGCUCCUGCUCACCAUCCAGUUUCACAGUAUGGAGAACCUCUGAGAUUCUGCUAAACGUCUGUUUUUGUGUCCUGCAGAAGAAAUAGUCAUACAGCUUGAGGGACGUUCCUGAGAUGACAGACAUGCACACCUACAGGAGUUCAGGGGUGAAGCCCCCCCAUGGCGACGGAAACGGCCCGAGGAAAGGCCUCAUGCUGAAGGGAGAGGGGCCCGGCAGCUCCCUCAAACAAUGGAAGUUCUUGGAAGAUUUUAGGAAGGUCCUGUGAUUUACUAUUCAUCCUUUUCUUGAAUGCCACUUCACUCCCUGUUCACUCUGAAACAUGGAGCAGUUUCUCAAAAAGUGUGUUUCUUUGCGUGCACGUGAGACUGAUACCCGUGUGACCCAACCGGUUGAGCGGCUUUUUGGCGCCCUCAGAAAAUAAAAAGAAAUAUAUUGUGCAAAGCAGCUAACGUGUCAACACAAGCUUUUAUCAUUCCUUUGUCUGUUUAAAAGCUUUUAUGUGGAAUAAUCUUUCCGACACAAUUUGACAUACUUGAAAUAAUCCACAUAAAUUCCAUUAUUGUUUAAAGACACCCUUGCUUCUACGCUUAAUUACCCCGGCGCUUCUCUCACUGUGACUGAACUCUCAUUAUGCUCUGAGGGCAUGAAGAAAAGGAGGUUUAACAUCCACAAAAGAAAGAACCUUCUUAUACCCUGGAAAAUGGAUACACUGUGACCUUUAACCUUUGGGGGAUUAGGCUUCAUUAGGGGGUGACCCUAAAACCUCUGUUCACCCGUAUGCUCAUCUCUCUGGGAUUAGAAAUCUUCAACCAAUAGGUCCAUGGCAUUUAAAGGCAGGUUAUCAACGUGUAGUGUGUGUUGCUAGUUUGAUUGUAAAGAAAGUCACAAAUAAAUUUUACUUCACCAUAAACAUUACCAUCUCUUGUUAAGGGAGAAGUGAUCAGUCAGCAGAGCAGGCGUAUGAGUGUUUACUUAAUACUUUGUUCUUGCAUCUGUUGAUUAAAUUGUUACUUGCUGCUAAGAAGGUUUUUUUUUAUUCUCUGGCUAUUUCUACUGCUAUUUUUUAUUGUAAUUUGUAUUUUUGAUUGCACUUUAUUUGUAAUUAGAGUAAUAGCUGUCGGCUAAGAAACAGCUUUUGUUAUUUAUAUUGCUCUGUUUCUGCACUUAAGUGCAAACUUUAGUUUCGAAUUGAGCGAUUUGGGUGUGCUAA
Molecule: long non-coding RNA, 2253 nt
Organism: Cyprinus carpio carpio
Lineage: Eukaryota; Metazoa; Chordata; Actinopteri; Cypriniformes; Cyprinidae
Source: Ensembl